RNAcentral lists this ribosomal RNA (79 nucleotides) under Oenococcus oeni. RNAcentral describes it as "partial 23S ribosomal RNA". The record is from RNAcentral. Lineage: Bacteria; Bacillati; Bacillota; Bacilli; Lactobacillales; Lactobacillaceae.
AUCAGGUAGAUAGGCUAGAAGUGGAAGUGUAGUGAUGCAUGGAGCGGACUAGUACUAAUAGGUCGAGGACUUAACCAAG